UCACUAGUGAUUAAAUCGAGAGCGUCUUCAUUGACCUCUCACCCUUCACAUCCACAUACACCUGUGCACCGNUUUGGCUCUUAUAAAAGACGAAAGUCUGCAAUGAGAGUCAUCAAUUUUAUACAUACCCCAGUCUUAUGAAUGUAACAGUUUUAAUAAACAUAAUAAAACUUUUAACAACGGAUCUCUUGGUUCUCGCAUCGAUGAAGAACGCAGCGAAAUGCGAUAAGUAAUGUGAAUUGCAGAAUUCAGUGAAUCAUCGAAUCUUUGAACGCACCUUGCGCUCCUUGGUAUUCCGAGGAGCAUGCCUGUUUGAGUGUCAUGAAACUCUCAACCUUCAACUUUUUUAUUAAGGCUGAAGGCUUGGACUUGAGCGCUGCUGGUUCUCACGAACCGGCUCGCUUGAAAUGAAUUAGCAGAUCCUUUUUGUAAUCGGUUCCACUCGACGUGAUAAGUAUUUCGCCGAGGACAUAUGAAAGUAUGGCCGAGAUAAAGAAAGUUCUAGAUCCGCUUCUAAUUCUUAGAUAAAGCUUGCUUUACUAAACCCCAUUUUAUGAUCUGGCCUCAAAUCAGGUAGGACUACCCGCUGAACUUAAGCAUAUCAAUAAGCGGAGGAAAAGAAACUAACAAGGAUUCCCCUAGUAACGGCGAGUGAAGCGGGAUGAGCUCAAAUUUAAAAUCUGGCGGCCUCAGGUCGUCCGAGUUGUAGUCUAGAGAAUCGUUUUCCGCGUUGGCCUGUGUACAAGUCCCUUGGAACAGGGCGUCAUAGAGGGUGAGAAUCCCGUCCUUGACACAGACUACCAAUGCUUUGUGAUGCGAUCUCGAAGAGUCGAGUUGUUUGGGAAUGCAGCUCAAAAUGGGUGGUAAAUUCCAUCUAAAGCUAAAUAUUGGCGAGAGACCGAUAGCGAACAAGUACCGUGAGGGAAAGAUGAAAAGCACUUUGGAAAGAGAGUUAAACAGUACGUGAAAUUGUUAAAAGGGAAACGAUUGAAGUCAGUCAUGCUUUCCGAGACUCAGCCGAUUCUGUCGGUGUACUUCUCGGUUGGCAGGCCAGCAUCAGUUUCGAUCUGUGGAAAAGGUUGGAGGGAACGUGGCAUCCUCGGAUGUGUUAUAGCCCUUCUUCGAAUACAUAGAGCGGGACUGAGGAACGCAGCGCGCCUUUUAUUAGGUUGGCCC
RNAcentral lists this ribosomal RNA (1176 nucleotides) under uncultured fungus. RNAcentral describes it as "eukaryotic LSU rRNA". The stretch from base 560 to 1176 matches the Rfam family "Eukaryotic large subunit ribosomal RNA", at positions 1 to 621 of the family's 3401-position model. Lineage: Eukaryota; Fungi. The record is from RNAcentral.